RNAcentral lists this transfer RNA (73 nucleotides) under Elusimicrobium minutum Pei191. RNAcentral describes it as "tRNA-Ala (TGC) (tRNA-Ala-TGC-1-1)". It matches the Rfam family "tRNA". Rfam says of the family: Transfer RNA (tRNA) molecules are approximately 80 nucleotides in length. Their secondary structure includes four short double-helical elements and three loops (D, anti-codon, and T loops). Further hydrogen bonds mediate the characteristic L-shaped molecular structure. tRNAs have two regions of fundamental functional importance: the anti-codon, which is responsible for specific mRNA codon recognition, and the 3' end, to which the tRNAs corresponding amino acid is attached (by aminoacyl-tRNA synthetases). tRNAs cope with the degeneracy of the genetic code in two manners: having more than one tRNA (with a specific anti-codon) for a particular amino acid; and 'wobble' base-pairing, i.e. permitting non-standard base-pairing at the 3rd anti-codon position. The record is from Rfam by way of RNAcentral. RNAcentral also lists the same sequence under 1 other name. Lineage: Bacteria; Pseudomonadati; Elusimicrobiota; Elusimicrobia; Elusimicrobiales; Elusimicrobiaceae.
GGGGCUGUAGCUCAGCUGGGAGAGCGCCUGCUUUGCAAGCAGGAGGUCGUCGGUUCGAUCCCGAUCAGCUCCA